GCGAGGCAGCGGUCCAUCCCAAUCAUUAGCAGCCCCUUCAUUUAUUGAUGAGAUCACACAGCGUGUGACACAAGACGUUGAGUCUAGGUUCACUACGACGAUCAAGAACCUAACGGCACGUGUUUUGUUCUUAGAGUCACAGGGUGUGGCUGGGAGUAUGAGCUUGAGAGAGGUGUCAGAUGUAUCUAGUGGGCAACAAGCUUCAAAAGAAAAUGAAUAGGGACAUCAUCUUCUUCUCCUUGUCCUUGUACAUUCCAUUCUUUUCCUCUCUUAUCGGGUCUAAUCUCUAGGUAAU
Camellia sinensis is the source of this 295-nucleotide non-coding RNA. Lineage: Eukaryota; Viridiplantae; Streptophyta; Magnoliopsida; Ericales; Theaceae. The record is from RefSeq and is a predicted model, not a curated record.